This 253-nucleotide ribosomal RNA is filed under the name uncultured bacterium. RNAcentral describes it as "partial 16S ribosomal RNA". It matches the Rfam family "Bacterial small subunit ribosomal RNA", at positions 524 to 776 of the family's 1533-position model. The record is from RNAcentral.
UACGUAUGUGGCAAGCGUUGUCCGGAUUUACUGGGCGUAAAGAGCGCGCAGGCGGUCGUUCAAGUCGCGUGUGAAAGCCCCCGGCUCAACUGGGGAGGGUCACGCGAUACUGAUCGACUCGAAGGCAGGAGAGGGUAGUGGAAUUCCCGGUGUAGUGGUGAAAUGCGUAGAUAUCGGGAGGAACACCAGUGGCGAAGGCGACUACCUGGCCUGUUCUUGACGCUGAGGCGCGAAAGCUAGGGGAGCAAACGGG